Long non-coding RNA from Stylophora pistillata, 382 nucleotides. NCBI's taxonomy places the organism in Eukaryota, Metazoa, Cnidaria, Anthozoa, Scleractinia, Pocilloporidae. The record is from RefSeq and is a predicted model, not a curated record.
UACAUGAAGAUGGCGGAGUGCUUGAGAGAGGCACUCCGUCUGCCCCCAUAUAAUCUACUAAGUCUCUUGAACAGAUCAAAGUCGUUGAAGAUUAUCUCCAAAUUAUAUGCAAGGCAAGCUCAAGCGUCUGAUGUUAGAAAACUAUGCUCGAUGGUUGUUGGUUUGGGUAAUCAUUCCCUUCCUGACACACGCCAUAGUGUUGGAAUGCUUGUAGUUGACUGUCUUGCCAAGUAUUUGGGAACUUCAUGGCAUUUCAAUAAGCAAUCUUUGGGUUAGGUAGCAGUAACCAAAGUGGUCACAAUAUAUAAUGUGAACCCAUCUGAUGUUAUUCUUUUUCAUGAUGACCUUGACAGACCUUUAGGUAAGUACAGUUUAAAACAUG